UCGGCGGUAGCCCGUGCCAGCGGCGCCGUGUCGCAGAGCGCCCUACAGCCGGUGGAAGACCCGGCGGCGCCUGCCCCCAUCACAUCGAUCUGGGGGAGGAGGAUAUGGAGGCCCCCGUCGCUGGCCGCCUCAGUGCGGACGAGAAAGAGGUCUCCUGUUUUUGCGAUGGGUGUUGUUCGUCGCCGCACUGGUGAGUUGCACAUGGCGGACCACACCGGGGAUUUCUUCGCGCCGUCGUCUUGCCGGUAUGAUUUUCUCCUUGCCGCCGCUGAAGAAGACCAUGCUGAAGAAUCCCUAACUUCCUUAAUUAUCAGUGUCACGGCCUUCCUCCACAGCUUUGGCACCGGCGGCGACUCGUGGAGCAGAGGAACCCAGUCCUCCUCCACCUUGGGCAUGGGGGCGUGGCUGAGCAGGACACUGAACGGAACCAAGAGGGCUUGGCGGAGGAGAGGCCGGCCCGGGCUGCACAAGCCCAUGCGCUCCACGUCCAAGCUCAGGAACAUCUCUGUCUGAGAUGUACUCCGCGUUCAAGGUUGGCGGAGCAGUGGCCGGUCCGGCUGAUCUCCAUCAUAUCUUACUGCACGCAUCAGAGGCAUAGCAGCUGAAUAAACAUACUUAUGCUUUUUGUUCUUCUCCAGGAUCUGAGUCGCUGCUACAUUUUCUUCAGUCCAUAAACCUGAUAUCAACUAUAAACAAUUCCCUUUUCAGCAGCCAUAAAACUUGCGACAAGCAGCGAUGGCUCAGUGAACCCUCAUCAGAGGGUUGUGUUUGUCAAGACGGCCACUCUAACAAUAGUGUAGUAUAGUAAUCACCUAUCUACCAGUAUGCAAACUACUACAACAGGUUUCAAUUCAAGUGUUGCAUGACAGCUUCUGUCUUCUCCUUCUGUUUAUGAUCUUACUUUGUUUAUGUUGCUAAAUAUUUUUGUAGGUCACCUGAUAAAUGUUCAGUUGCCUUCUUACAGUCUACUUGGUCCGGCAGAUCAUAAACAUCGAGUUGCUUAUACCGCGUGUUGCUCUGGUGGAAGGGCGUUCCUUCCUAUUUACCCCAGCUAGCCGUCUCCUAUGGCUGAGUUAAUUCAUUUCUCAUGGUGGUGUUUAGUCAAAUUGAUUUACGUUAUUUCCAUGAUUUGCUUUAUAUAGGUGGGACUAGGUUUCAGUUCAUUCUCUGAUUGUGUCAUGUUCUACCGUGGAGUUUCUUAUGGUAGCAGCACUACCCGUAGUUUAUUUUGAUGGUUAACUCUGAGAUGUAAAUAUUAGUGAUGAUCUGUACUGAAGCUUUCUUUAAUCAAUCAGUCUAUGAUGUUUAGUCA
Molecule: long non-coding RNA, 1312 nt
Organism: Lolium rigidum
Lineage: Eukaryota; Viridiplantae; Streptophyta; Magnoliopsida; Poales; Poaceae
Exons: 3
Source: RefSeq, a predicted model, not a curated record